Eucalyptus grandis is the source of this 452-nucleotide long non-coding RNA. RefSeq lists it as uncharacterized. The record is from RefSeq and is a predicted model, not a curated record. The transcript has 2 exons. NCBI's taxonomy places the organism in Eukaryota, Viridiplantae, Streptophyta, Magnoliopsida, Myrtales, Myrtaceae.
GCUCUAUCUAAUGGAUCAUAUUCAUCGAUCAUAGGACAUAACUAAUGCAUGAUUUUGCCAGAUCACUGUUACGCCCCUUGGUGCUCUUUCCCCAGCGAAUGUGGAAUGUGAGGCCUUUUUUAAGGAUUGGCUGCCAAAUGUGGCUUAAUGCCCUUCACUGGCUUCCUAACGCUGUUAGAUGCCUUUGUGACUAAUAAAUAUGAGUUGAGGAUUGCUUCUCUAUGUGGAAAUUAUAUACUUCAAACUCAAGUUAUUGUCAAGGUCAUUCAUUUUUUAAGCCAUGUCUUGUGCCAUCUCUUUGCCUGGGAAUCUUAAACUUCGGUAAAUGGUGUCAAUGUCAAGUAAGAAUUGUACGAGAUUUCAAUUUUCCCAGUUAAUACAAACGGGGUCCGUUCACAUUUGACUACUGAAAAUAAUGGCAUCUUCCUAAUGCAAUUUAUGUGCAGGAUUGA